AGUGAACGCUGGCGGUAGGCCUAACACAUGCAAGUCGAACGGAAGCACAGUAAGAGCUUGCUCUUACGGGUGGCGAGUGGCGGACGGGUGAGGAAUACAUCGGAAUCUACUUUUUCGUGGGGGAUAACGGAGGGAAACUUACGCUACUACCGCAUACGACCUACGGGUGAAAGCAGGGGAGCUUCGGACCUUGCGCGAUUGAAUGAGCCGAUGUCGGAUUAGCUAGUUGGCGGGGUAACGGCCCACCAAGGCGACGAUCCGUAGCUGGUCUGAGAGGAUGAUCAGCCACACUGGAACUGAGACACGGUCCAGACUCCUACGGGAGGCAGCAGUGGGGAAUAUUCGGCAAUGGGCGAAAGCCUGACCCAGCCAUACCGCGUGAGUGAAGAAGGUCUUCGGGUUGUAAAGCUCUUUUGUUAGGAAAGAAAAGCAGCAGGUUAAUACACCGCCGUUCUGACGGUACCCAAAGAAUAAGCACCGGCUAACUUCGUG
RNAcentral lists this ribosomal RNA (492 nucleotides) under uncultured bacterium. RNAcentral describes it as "partial 16S ribosomal RNA". It matches the Rfam family "Bacterial small subunit ribosomal RNA", at positions 29 to 507 of the family's 1533-position model. The record is from RNAcentral.